This 242-nucleotide unclassified non-coding RNA is filed under the name plant metagenome. RNAcentral describes it as "partial contains small subunit ribosomal RNA, internal transcribed spacer 1, and 5.8S ribosomal RNA". The record is from RNAcentral.
UCUCCGUAGGUGAACCUGCGGAGGGAUCAUUCACAUGAUUUACUUUAUAAACAAACCGUGAACUUUAUAUACUAUUCGUGUUGUAAUGUUUAUCAUUAUUUACACUGUCAUUCGAUGAACAUUAGAUAGCUGGCUCGUUUAUUAAUAAACUUUCUCAGCUGAUUUGUUUGUUAGACUAAACAUCUAUUCAAUCAAUCAACCAAACAUAGAAACAACUCUAUGCCCUGGAUAUCUUGGUUCUC